RNAcentral lists this ribosomal RNA (762 nucleotides) under uncultured bacterium. RNAcentral's name for it is "bacterial SSU rRNA". It matches the Rfam family "Bacterial small subunit ribosomal RNA", at positions 78 to 836 of the family's 1533-position model. The record is from RNAcentral.
UGCUGAUUUGCUGACGAGUGGCGGACGGGUGAGUAAUGUCUGGGAAACUGCCUGAUGGAGGGGGAUAACUACUGGAAACGGUAGCUAAUACCGCAUAACGUCGCAAGACCAAAGAGGGGGACCUUCGGGCCUCUUGCCAUCGGAUGUGCCCAGAUGGGAUUAGCUAGUAGGUGGGGUAACGGCUCACCUAGGCGACGAUCCCUAGCUGGUCUGAGAGGAUGACCAGCCACACUGGAACUGAGACACGGUCCAGACUCCUACGGGAGGCAGCAGUGGGGAAUAUUGCACAAUGGGCGCAAGCCUGAUGCAGCCAUGCCGCGUGUAUGAAGAAGGCCUUCGGGUUGUAAAGUACUUUCAGCGGGGAGGAAGGGAGUAAAGUUAAUACCUUUGCUCAUUGACGUUACCCGCAGAAGAAGCACCGGCUAACUCCGUGCCAGCAGCCGCGGUAAUACGGAGGGUGCAAGCGUUAAUCGGAAUUACUGGGCGUAAAGCGCACGCAGGCGGUUUGUUAAGUCAGAUGUGAAAUCCCCGGGCUCAACCUGGGAACUGCAUCUGAUACUGGCAAGCUUGAGUCUCGUAGAGGGGGGUAGAAUUCCAGGUGUAGCGGUGAAAUGCGUAGAGAUCUGGAGGAAUACCGGUGGCGAAGGCGGCCCCCUGGACGAAGACUGACGCUCAGGUGCGAAAGCGUGAGGAGCAAACAGGAUUAGAUACCCUGGUAGUCCACGCCGUANACGAUGUCGACUUGGAGGUUGUGCCCUUGAG